GCACAGUCAAAAAUAAUGUAUGCUCCAGAAUGUGAAGGAAUCUCAAUCCACAAUAUUCUGAACAGCUUCCAGUUUGAAGUAGACUUCUUAUUGCAGAUGUUUGCUCCCGGAGUUAGCUAGCUAACUUAAUCGCUAGUUGAAUACUACAUUUUACCUCCAUUGUUAACAUUGUUUUUUUUUGUGGUUAAAGCUAAUAACGUUAUCACAAAGUGUCGCUCAAAAGUACUGUCAACGUUAUGUUGCUAAGGAGUUCUGGGACCACCUGCGCUGUUCGAGGCUACAACUACAACCAGGCGAAUUUAACCUAUGGCAAAGUCAACAAUGCUUUUAUCAUAUACACCAUUAAAAAGGUCAGAAUGCACAUGUCCACCAUGGCACACAUUCCAUCGUCUACCAACUGCGGAAGAAGACAAGCAAUUGUGGUUGCGAAAUCUCAAAUUAAAGAAACCACCGAAGACUCGUUCCACUUUGUUGACAAAGUCGAGAACCCUUACCCAACGCUAUGACUAGGCUACGAUAGAGCUCCAGAGAAGAAACGGCAACGACAGUUACCAAGAGUUACUGACAACAUUACGACAGAAGGUUGGUGUUUUCAGCUCACUGACCAGGCACACAGUUUUUAUUAGUUGACUCCCAAAAUGUCGAUGUUAUUGAUCAGAUAUUCCAGUGCCAUUGCCUGUCCAAGCUUACAAUGACAACUAUUACUUUAUGCUUAACCUUGAAGGUGACUGUAGUCAAGCAGGGCGAGUGGGUCACCUCCUGCACCCCAGGGCUUCUCUGAUGCUCAAACACAAUGGAUGGAUCCUAUCCUGGAGGACCACAACUAUUGCAGUCAACUAUACAGAUCAGCAGUGCCAUGGAGAUGACCCAGAGUUCGAGGUGCCCCCCCGUGCCAGUGUUGGUCCUGAUGUUUUCUGUGGACUGGGUCUGACUCUGGGGCUGCUGGGAGUCGCUACCGGAACAUUCUUCCUCGUCAAAGGAACCCAAUGUCAUAAGUUGAAUGCACCAAUUUGUAAGUCGCUCUGGAUAAGAGCGUCUGCUAAAUGACUUAAAUGUAAAUGUAAAUGUAUAAUACCCAGUAUACUCUCUAUGUCUCUGGGUGAUAAUACACAGUAUACUCUCUAUGUCGCUGGAUGAUAAUACACAGUAUAAUCUCUAUGGCGCUGGGUGAAAAUACACAGUAUAAUCUCUAUGUCUCUGGGUGAUAAUACACAGUAUAAUCUUUAUGUCUCUGGGUGAUAAUACACAGUAUAAUCUCUAUAUCUCUGGGUGAUAAUACACAGUAUAAUCUCUUAUAUGUCUCUGGGUGAUAAUACACAGUAUUAUCUCUAUGUCUCUGGGUGAUAAUACACAGUAUAAUCUCUAUGUCGCAGGGUGAUAAUACACAAUAUAAUCUCCUAUGUGUCUUUGGGUGAUAAUACACAUUAUAAUCUCUAUGUCUCUGGGUGAUAAUACACAGUAUAAUCUCUAUGUCGCUGGGUGAUAAUAAACAGUAUAAUCUCCUAUAUGUCUCUGGGUGAUAAUACACAGCAUAAUCUCCUAUAUGUCUCUGGGUGAUAAUACACAGCAUAAUUUCCUAAAUGUCUCUGGGGGAUAAUAUACAGCAUAAUUUCCUAUAUGUCUCUGGGUGAUAAUACACAGUAUAAUCUCUAUGUGUCUCUGGGUGAUAAUACACAGUAUAAUCUCUAUAUGUCUCUGGGUGAAAAUACACAGUAUAAUCUCUAUAUGUCUCUGGGUGAUAAUACACAGCAUAAUUUCCUAAAUGUCGCUGGGUGAUAAUACACAGUAUAAUCUCCUAUAUGUCUCUGGGUGAUAAUAAACAGUAUCAUCUCUGGGUGAUAAUACACAGUAUAAUCUCUAUAUGAGCCCGAACUUGAACCCGAUCUAACAUCUCUGGAGAGACCUGAAAAUAGCUGUGCAGCAACGCUCCCUAUCCAACCUGACAGAGCUUGAGAGGAUCUGCAGAGAAA
Long non-coding RNA from Salmo trutta (river trout), 1970 nucleotides. Lineage: Eukaryota; Metazoa; Chordata; Actinopteri; Salmoniformes; Salmonidae. The record is from Ensembl.